AUGGCGGACGUCUAUACACAACCGACCCAGGCUGCAACUACGUCGGCUACACCGACCACGAUCCGAGCCUGCAUCAACCUUGCGUCUGCAUCGACCUCUCUACCGAGCCGAACAUCUCACUGUACGACUACGCUAGGCUACGAGCCAACAUGCUUCUUCACGGCAUCGACACCUUGUCGCCACGAGGGACGCCUCCAAGCGACGUAUCAUCGUCGACACGCCGUUGCGACACCAUCGCCGACACUUCAUCACCAUGGUCUUCAUCAACAUCUUCGUCAACACACCGCCGUCGCCCCGUCCACAAAAUGGACACCUAACGUCCUCUGA
RNAcentral lists this ribosomal RNA (327 nucleotides) under Triticum aestivum (bread wheat). RNAcentral describes it as "partial small subunit ribosomal RNA". The record is from RNAcentral. Lineage: Eukaryota; Viridiplantae; Streptophyta; Magnoliopsida; Poales; Poaceae.